UCAGAUUGAACGCUGGCGGCAUGCCUAACACAUGCAAGUCGAACGGCAGCACAGCACGGGGCAACCCGUGUGGGUGGCGAGUGGCGGACGGGUGAGUAAUGCAUGGGAAUCUACCCAGUAGCGGGGGACAACCCGGAGAAAUCCGGGCUAAUACCGCAUACGCCCUAAGGGGGAAAGCGGGGGACCGAAAGGCCUCGCACUAUUGGAUGAGCCCAUGUCGGAUUAGCUAGUUGGUAGGGUAACGGCCUACCAAGGCGACAAUCCGUAGCUAGUCUGAGAGGACGAUCAGCCACACCGGAACUGAGACACGGUCCGGACUCCUACGGGAGGCAGCAGUGGGGAAUAUUGGACAAUGGGGGCAACCCUGAUCCGCAAUGCCGCGUGUGUGAAGAAGGCCUGCGGGUUGUAAAGCACUUUCAGUGGGGACAAAAAGCGCCGUGUUAAUACCGCGGCUUUUGAUUUAACCCAUAGAAGAAGCACCGGCU
Molecule: ribosomal RNA, 485 nt
Filed under: uncultured Gammaproteobacteria bacterium
Lineage: Bacteria; Pseudomonadati; Pseudomonadota; Gammaproteobacteria
Description: bacterial SSU rRNA
Rfam family: Bacterial small subunit ribosomal RNA
Source: RNAcentral